This 200-nucleotide ribosomal RNA is filed under the name Congriscus megastomus. RNAcentral's name for it is "partial 12S ribosomal RNA". The record is from RNAcentral. Lineage: Eukaryota; Metazoa; Chordata; Actinopteri; Anguilliformes; Congridae.
GCUCAGANUACCUAGGNGNAGCCUGUUCUAUAACCGAUAAUCCCCGUUGAACCUCACCACUUCUUGUUUAUCCAGCCUAUAUACCGCCGUCGCCAGCUUACCUCAUGAGAGCCCAAAAGUAAGCCAAACGAGUAAUACUCAACACGUCAGGUCGAGGUGUAGCAAAUGAAGUGGGAAGAAAUGGGCUACAUUUUCUGACC